CUGUGAAAUCCAACCGGGUGCGCGACCACGAGGAAGGAUGGCGAGGGAGGAAACCGCGCUUUGUUGUUGAGGUGAGCCGGGUGCGCGACCACGAGGAAGGAUGGCGAGGGAGGAAACCGCGCUUUGUUGGUGAGGUGAGCCGGGUGCGCGACCAUGAGGAAGGAUGGCGAGGGAGGAAACCGCGCUUUGUUGGUGAGGUGUUCACGGAUAAUGAAGCUGAUGUGAGAGCCCUGGAGAGAAACAUCAGUCAAAGGCAUGCAGGGAAUCCCAUCCAGCGUCCCUCUACUCUCCUCUGCAGCUUCCAUGGUUGGAAUGCUGAGCCAUUGCUAGGACGAUGAGGCUACAGGAAAGUGAAAUGCACCUGCUGCGAUCUGAUCCAACUGACCACUCCUGCUGCUCCUCCCUUGCACCUCAGGCAUCUCCUUCCAAUCUGGAGGAAACACUUUUACCUCCACUUUUCUUUUACAGUCCUCCAAACUCUGUUCCUUCUAGGGAGCACAAGUACAGAAAUAGAAACCUGGACUCCCAUCAUCCUGCUUCACAAACUUACAAUGUUAAAGAAAGAAAAAAAAAAAGACCAAGUACAUUACCUGGUAGAAUUGGAGAGAUGGGCACGAAAGAGCUGUAAAUACAGUUAGAAAACACACUAGCAUUUACAAAUGUGUAUGAGAAACAAUGAGGAGGAUUUUCAGAGACUAUCAUAACCAUUUAUUUUUCUAAUAUGUGAUAAGUAAACGCACAGAAAAUCAAUUUAAUAUUUGGGGCUUUUAUUUCUCAUUUUUUAGAUUGCCAGAAAGACUGUCCAGUGUUAUAAAGUUUGUGUCAAUAUUCUGGAAUUGGCAAUUUUGUCAUUUAUAUGGGAGAAAUAGCUAAAGGUG
Molecule: long non-coding RNA, 878 nt
Filed under: Homo sapiens (human)
Lineage: Eukaryota; Metazoa; Chordata; Mammalia; Primates; Hominidae
Description: HSALNT0355668
Source: RNAcentral